Molecule: unclassified non-coding RNA, 196 nt
Filed under: uncultured Truncospora
Lineage: Eukaryota; Fungi; Basidiomycota; Agaricomycetes; Polyporales; Polyporaceae
Description: sequence contains ITS2
Source: RNAcentral
AAUCUUCAAUCUUAUAGGUCUUUGCGGGGUCUAUAGGCUUGGACUUGGAGGCUUGUCGGUAUUAAUGCCCGGCUCCUCUUAAAUGCAUUAGCUUGAUUCCUUGCGGAUCGGCUCUCGGUGUGAUAAUUGUCUACGCCGUGACCGUGAAGCGUUUUGGCAAGCUUCUAACUGUCUUGUAAGAGACACUAUUUAUGAC